GUCCGGACAUGACGUUACGCAAACUUACGCCAUGGAGGCGGUACCAUCUAUCACAUGAUCUUCACACACAGCUCGGACUUGUUAGUGGGAGAGUUUAUAACUUCGUCGACAGGAAAAAAUGCACAUAUCUAUAUGGGAUGCUUAUUCCCAGCCGGUUCUGGAAGAAUGCAACACCUGUUGCAAAAAACGUUUCCACUUCCCUCUUUGUCCAGCUUUUAAGCCGGCAAAGAGGGUCAAAAUUGAGAGACAUAUGGAUGUACAUAUGAAGAAUGCCGUUCAUUUCAAAGACAAAUGCAUCUGUAGGUGCAGACUCUCAUGCCGUGCAGAAGGCCAUUACCACUGCCCCUUCUGUCAAAAGACAAUUAUACGACGAGCGGAUAGGGAAAGACAUUUAAUAUCAUGCCAAGGGCCUCUUCCAGCUGUUCUACCUGUGGCCUCCGCCCCUUCUACAUAUGUGUUACUGGACACUCUGACUUCUUCUGUUUUAAACCAACUGCCAUUUACAUUGCACUGUGAGCAUGUGAAGCACCUUUUGUUUUGACC
This is a non-coding RNA of Paramormyrops kingsleyae, 543 nucleotides long. The record is from RefSeq and is a predicted model, not a curated record. Lineage: Eukaryota; Metazoa; Chordata; Actinopteri; Osteoglossiformes; Mormyridae.